Molecule: ribosomal RNA, 1346 nt
Filed under: uncultured bacterium
Lineage: Bacteria
Description: partial 16S ribosomal RNA
Rfam family: Bacterial small subunit ribosomal RNA
Source: RNAcentral
GACGAACGCUGGCGGCAUGCUUAACACAUGCAAGUCGAACGGAAAGGCCCUGCUUUUGUGGGGUGCUCGAGUGGCGAACGGGUGAGUAACACGUGAGUAACCUGCCCUUGACUUUGGGAUAACUUCAGGAAACUGGGGCUAAUACCGGAUAGGAGCUCCUGCUGCAUGGUGGGGGUUGGAAAGUUUCGGCGGUUGGGGAUGGACUCGCGGCUUAUCAGCUUGUUGGUGGGGUAGUGGCUUACCAAGGCUUUGACGGGUAGCCGGCCUGAGAGGGUGACCGGCCACAUUGGGACUGAGAUACGGCCCAGACUCCUACGGGAGGCAGCAGUGGGGAAUAUUGCACAAUGGGCGGAAGCCUGAUGCAGCAACGCCGCGUGCGGGAUGACGGCCUUCGGGUUGUAAACCGCUUUCGCCUGUGACGAAGCGUGAGUGACGGUAAUGGGUAAAGAAGCACCGGCUAACUACGUGCCAGCAGCCGCGGUGAUACGUAGGGUGCGAGCGUUGUCCGGAUUUAUUGGGCGUAAAGGGCUCGUAGGUGGUUGAUCGCGUCGGAAGUGUAAUCUUGGGGCUUAACCCUGAGCGUGCUUUCGAUACGGGUUGACUUGAGGAAGGUAGGGGAGAAUGGAAUUCCUGGUGGAGCGGUGGAAUGCGCAGAUAUCAGGAGGAACACCAGUGGCGAAGGCGGUUCUCUGGGCCUUUCCUGACGCUGAGGAGCGGAAGCGUGGGGAGCGAACAGGCUUAGAUACCCUGGUAGUCCACGCUGUAAACGGUGGGUACUAGGUGUGGGGUCCAUUCCACGGGUUCCGUGCCGUAGCUAACGCUUUAAGUACCCCGCCUGGGGAGUACGGCCGCAAGGCUAAAACUCAAAGGAAUUGACGGGGCCCCGCACAAGCGGCGGAGCAUGCGGAUUAAUUCGAUGCAACGCGUAGAACCUUACCUGGGUUUGACAUGGAUCGGGAGUGCUCAGAGAUGGGUGUGCCUCUUUUGGGGUCGGUUCACAGGUGGUGCAUGGCUGUCGUCAGCUCGUGUCGUGAGAUGUUGGGUUAAGUCCCGCAACGAGCGCAACCCUUGUUCACUGUUGCCAGCACGUUAUGGUGGGGACUCAGUGGAGACCGCCGGGGUCAACUCGGAGGAAGGUGGGGAUGACGUCAAGUCAUCAUGCCCCUUAUGUCCAGGGCUUCACGCAUGCUACAAUGGCUGGUACAGAGAGUGGCGAGCCUGUGAGGGUGAGCGAAUCUCGGAAAGCCGGUCUCAGUUCGGAUUGGGGUCUGCAACCCGACCUCAUGAAGUCGGAGUCGCUAGUAAUCGCAGAUCAGCAACGCUGCGGUGAAUACGUUCCCGGGGCU